ACAUGCCUACAACAUGACGUUAAUGCACCGAAUCCCAUUAGAACUCCGUAGUUAAGCAUGCUAGGAUAGAUUAAUACAUGGAUGGGUGACCACCCUAGAAGUCCUAGUGUGUUACAUGCC
This is a non-coding RNA of Picea glauca (white spruce), 120 nucleotides long. NCBI's taxonomy places the organism in Eukaryota, Viridiplantae, Streptophyta, Pinopsida, Pinales, Pinaceae. The record is from Rfam.